AGUAUUACAUGGCCAAUCUC
Molecule: non-coding RNA, 20 nt
Filed under: Echinops telfairi (small Madagascar hedgehog)
Lineage: Eukaryota; Metazoa; Chordata; Mammalia; Afrosoricida; Tenrecidae
Also listed under: 1 other name
Source: RNAcentral